GGCCAGGUAGCCAAGUAGCUAAGGCGACGCUCUGCAAAAGCGUUAUACGCGGGUGCAAUUCCCGCCCUGGCCUCAA
RNAcentral lists this transfer RNA (76 nucleotides) under Parcubacteria group bacterium CG1_02_39_15. RNAcentral's name for it is "tRNA-Cys". It matches the Rfam family "tRNA". From Rfam's summary of the family: Transfer RNA (tRNA) molecules are approximately 80 nucleotides in length. Their secondary structure includes four short double-helical elements and three loops (D, anti-codon, and T loops). Further hydrogen bonds mediate the characteristic L-shaped molecular structure. tRNAs have two regions of fundamental functional importance: the anti-codon, which is responsible for specific mRNA codon recognition, and the 3' end, to which the tRNAs corresponding amino acid is attached (by aminoacyl-tRNA synthetases). tRNAs cope with the degeneracy of the genetic code in two manners: having more than one tRNA (with a specific anti-codon) for a particular amino acid; and 'wobble' base-pairing, i.e. permitting non-standard base-pairing at the 3rd anti-codon position. RNAcentral also lists the same sequence under 4 other names. The record is from RNAcentral.